Molecule: ribosomal RNA, 1455 nt
Filed under: Escherichia coli
Lineage: Bacteria; Pseudomonadati; Pseudomonadota; Gammaproteobacteria; Enterobacterales; Enterobacteriaceae
Description: partial 23S ribosomal RNA
Rfam family: Bacterial large subunit ribosomal RNA
Source: RNAcentral
GUAUCCUGUCUGAAUAUGGGGGGACCAUCCUCCAAGGCUAAAUACUCCUGACUGACCGAUAGUGAACCAGUACCGUGAGGGAAAGGCGAAAAGAACCCCGGCGAGGGGAGUGAAAAAGAACCUGAAACCGUGUACGUACAAGCAGUGGGAGCACGCUUAGGCGUGUGACUGCGUACCUUUUGUAUAAUGGGUCAGCGACUUAUAUUCUGUAGCAAGGUUAACCGAAUAGGGGAGCCGAAGGGAAACCGAGUCUUAACUGGGCGUUAAGUUGCAGGGUAUAGACCCGAAACCCGGUGAUCUAGCCAUGGGCAGGUUGAAGGUUGGGUAACACUAACUGGAGGACCGAACCGACUAAUGUUGAAAAAUUAGCGGAUGACUUGUGGCUGGGGGUGAAAGGCCAAUCAAACCGGGAGAUAGCUGGUUCUCCCCGAAAGCUAUUUAGGUAGCGCCUCGUGAAUUCAUCUCCGGGGGUAGAGCACUGUUUCGGCAAGGGGGUCAUCCCGACUUACCAACCCGAUGCAAACUGCGAAUACCGGAGAAUGUUAUCACGGGAGACACACGGCGGGUGCUAACGUCCGUCGUGAAGAGGGAAACAACCCAGACCGCCAGCUAAGGUCCCAAAGUCAUGGUUAAGUGGGAAACGAUGUGGGAAGGCCCAGACAGCCAGGAUGUUGGCUUAGAAGCAGCCAUCAUUUAAAGAAAGCGUAAUAGCUCACUGGUCGAGUCGGCCUGCGCGGAAGAUGUAACGGGGCUAAACCAUGCACCGAAGCUGCGGCAGCGACGCUUAUGCGUUGUUGGGUAGGGGAGCGUUCUGUAAGCCUGUGAAGGUGUACUGUGAGGUAUGCUGGAGGUAUCAGAAGUGCGAAUGCUGACAUAAGUAACGAUAAAGCGGGUGAAAAGCCCGCUCGCCGGAAGACCAAGGGUUCCUGUCCAACGUUAAUCGGGGCAGGGUGAGUCGACCCCUAAGGCGAGGCCGAAAGGCGUAGUCGAUGGGAAACAGGUUAAUAUUCCUGUACUUGGUGUUACUGCGAAGGGGGGACGGAGAAGGCUAUGUUGGCCGGGCGACGGUUGUCCCGGUUUAAGCGUGUAGGCUGGUUUUCCAGGCAAAUCCGGAAAAUCAAGGCUGAGGCGUGAUGACGAGGCACUACGGUGCUGAAGCAACAAAUGCCCUGCUUCCAGGAAAAGCCUCUAAGCAUCAGGUAACAUCAAAUCGUACCCCAAACCGACACAGGUGGUCAGGUAGAGAAUACCAAGGCGCUUGAGAGAACUCGGGUGAAGGAACUAGGCAAAAUGGUGCCGUAACUUCGGGAGAAGGCACGCUGAUAUGUAGGUGAAGUCCCUCGCGGAUGGAGCUGAAAUCAGUCGAAGAUACCAGCUGGCUGCAACUGUUUAUUAAAAACACAGCACUGUGCAAACACGAAAGUGGACGUAUACGGUGUGACGCCUGCCCGGUGC